UAGCGCCCUCUAGCAUAACGCAUCUUUCUUCCAACAACUUUGAUUAACGAAAUAAAACCCAGGUGAAAUAAAACCAUGAUUAAAACAAAUAAACAUGGCGCCCCCGCCAUAUGUACGGUAUGUUAUAUGUGUUGGGGCGCGACGGUCACGCGCAGCGGAGCUUAUGGUUGCGUGCGUUGCAAGGCAAUGGUCACACUCGGAUCAAGCUAACGUAACAUCAGUGCAAACUCUGGUGCAAAGGAACGAAGAAAAGCAGCAGGAGGAGAAGAAAGCCCUGUAAAGAGCUGCAGGUGAAGAGACAUGUAGGACCACACCUAGCACAGCAGCCGGUGAAACAGAGCAUGCAGCAGGUGAAGGAGCAACAGACACAACUCGCCCUGAUUCUGCACUACAGCCUGCAGACACUUUCUCCCCCACAACAAGUUCUGAUGUCCAU
Long non-coding RNA from Pungitius pungitius (ninespine stickleback), 436 nucleotides. RefSeq lists it as uncharacterized. The record is from RefSeq and is a predicted model, not a curated record. NCBI's taxonomy places the organism in Eukaryota, Metazoa, Chordata, Actinopteri, Perciformes, Gasterosteidae. The transcript is spliced from 3 exons.